GAUGAACGCUGGCGGCGUGCCUAAUACAUGCAAGUCGAGCGAACGGACGAGAAUCUUGCUUCUCUGAUGUUAGCGGCGGACGGGUGAGUAACACGUGGAUAACCUACCUAUAAGACUGGGAUAACUUCGGGAAACCGGAGCUAAUACCGGAUAAUAUUUUGAACCGCAUGGUUCAAAAGUGAAAGACGGUCUUGCUGUCACGUAUAGAUGGAUCCGCGCUGCAUUAGCUAGUUGGUAAGGUAACGGCUUACCAAGGCAACGAUGCAUAGCCGACCUGAGAGGGUGAUCGGCCACCCUGGAACUGAGACACGGUCCAGACUCCUACGGGAGGCAGCAGUAGGGAAUGUUCCGCAAUGGGCGAAAGCCUGACGGAGCAACGCCGCGUGAGUGAUGAAGGUCUUCGGAUCGUAAAACUCUGUUAUUAGGGAAGAACAUAUGUGUAAGUAAAUGUGCACAUCUUGACGGUACCUAAUCAGAAAGCCACGGCUAACUACGUG
Molecule: ribosomal RNA, 497 nt
Filed under: uncultured bacterium
Lineage: Bacteria
Description: partial 16S ribosomal RNA
Rfam family: Bacterial small subunit ribosomal RNA
Source: RNAcentral